Molecule: ribosomal RNA, 301 nt
Filed under: uncultured bacterium
Lineage: Bacteria
Description: partial 16S ribosomal RNA
Rfam family: Bacterial small subunit ribosomal RNA
Source: RNAcentral
CAGCAGCCGCGGGAAUACGAAGGGGGCUAGCGUUGUUCGGAAUCACUGGGCGUAAAGGGUGCGUAGGCGGAUUCUUAAGUCAGGGGUGAAAUCCCGAGGCUCAACCUCGGAACUGCCUUUGAUACUGGGGAUCUUGAGUCCGGAAGAGGUGAGUGGAACUGCGAGUGUAGAGGUGAAAUUCGUAGAUAUUCGCAAGAACACCGGUGGCGAAGGCGGCUCACUGGUCCGGAACUGACGCUGAGGCACGACAGCGUGGGGAGCAAACAGGAUUAGAUACCCGCGUAGUCCCUGUCUCUUAUAC